Molecule: ribosomal RNA, 253 nt
Filed under: uncultured bacterium
Lineage: Bacteria
Description: partial 16S ribosomal RNA
Rfam family: Bacterial small subunit ribosomal RNA
Source: RNAcentral
UACGUAGGGUGCAAGCGUUGUCCGGAAUUAUUGGGCGUAAAGAGCUCGUAGGCGGUUUGUCGCGUCUGCUGUGAAAACCCGAGGCUCAACCUCGGGCCUGCAGUGGGUACGGGCAGACUAGAGUGCGGUAGGGGAGAUUGGAAUUCCUGGUGUAGCGGUGGAAUGCGCAGAUAUCAGGAGGAACACCGAUGGCGAAGGCAGCUUGCUGGGACGGUACUGACGCUGAGACGCGAAAGCGUGGGGAGCAAACAGG